AACUUUUGACACUGGAUCUCUUGGCUCUCGCAUCGAUGAAGAACGCAGCGAAAUGCGAUACGUAAUGUGAAUUGCAGAAUUCAGUGAAUCAUCGAAUCUUUGAACGCACCUUGCGCCCCUUGGUAUUCCGAGGGGCACACCCGUUUGAGUGUCGUGAAAAUCUCAACCUUCUCGGUUUCUUCUGGACGCCGAAGGAGGCUUGGACUUUGGAGGCCUUUGCUGGCGUCUCUCGCCAGCUCCUCUCAAAUGAAUUAGCGGGGUCCUCUUUGCCGAUCCUCGACAUGUGAUAAGAUGUUUCCAUGUCUUGGUUUCUGGCUCUGUUGCCUUUGGGACCCGCUUCUAACCGUCUCAACAGACAAUGUUUGUGAGCGUGUCUCCCCUCUCGGGAAACGCUCUCAAACCCCCACGAACCCUUGACCUCAAAUCGGGUGAGACUACCCGCUGAACUUAAGCAUAUCAAUAAGCGG
RNAcentral lists this unclassified non-coding RNA (467 nucleotides) under uncultured Lactarius. RNAcentral's name for it is "sequence contains ITS2". The stretch from base 1 to 154 matches the Rfam family "5.8S ribosomal RNA". Lineage: Eukaryota; Fungi; Basidiomycota; Agaricomycetes; Russulales; Russulaceae. The record is from RNAcentral.